Molecule: ribosomal RNA, 367 nt
Filed under: uncultured bacterium
Lineage: Bacteria
Description: bacterial SSU rRNA
Rfam family: Bacterial small subunit ribosomal RNA
Source: RNAcentral
GAUGAACGCUAGCGGCAGGCCUAAUACAUGCAAGUCGAACGGAUAUAUGUUUUUCGGAAUAUAUAUUAGUGGCGCACGGGUGAGUAACACGUACAUAACUUGCCCUCAAGCGGGGGAUAGCCUUGGGAAACUGAGAGUAAUACCCCAUAGAAUUAUUGGACGGCAUCGUUUGAUAAUUAAAACUACGGUGCUUGGGGAUAGAUGUGCGUCUGAUUAGCUAGUUGGUGAGGUAACUGCUCACCAAGGCGACGAUCAGUAGGGGGCGUGAGAGCGUGGCCCCCCANACGGGUACUGAGACACGGACCCGACUCCUACGGGAGGCAGCAGUAAGGAAUAUUGGUCAAUGGAGGGAACUCUGAACCAGCCA